Topomyia yanbarensis is the source of this 4619-nucleotide long non-coding RNA. RefSeq lists it as uncharacterized. NCBI's taxonomy places the organism in Eukaryota, Metazoa, Arthropoda, Insecta, Diptera, Culicidae. The transcript has 7 exons. The record is from RefSeq and is a predicted model, not a curated record.
UGUCAAAAUUUCGUAGUUUUGAGAAUCAAUAUUUUGAAUUUGAAUGGUAAGUUUUAAAAUAUUAUUGGAAUUGUGAUUGUUUCUAGUAAUUAUUAUUUACAGCACACCCGAACAAAGCAGCCACAAGAGCAGCAUUUUUCGUCACCAGCCAUCUAUCUACUUGAUAAGUUUUCAACAACAACAACCAGGUGCUACAAAUCAGCUCAACUUGACUCAACAUCCUGGAUCUGGCAAUCAGCCAACCGACAUUAAAUCGAUACAACCGUAGCAGUACCAACAACUCCAAAUCCAGCAGCUGCCAACAAUCUCUCAAAAAAGAACCACAGCAAUUACAGCUCAGAACCAACAAAGCAACAAGAGCUUUUUUACGAAUAAUGGACCCAUCGGAAACACUUUAUCGGCACAUUCUGUCGUAAAACUUGCCUGCCACUAUUCUUACCAGCGGUUACCUUCCUGAUGUAGAGAAAUCAGAGUCAAACACAAACGUCAUAUUACUGCCUUGGCUCCUACCAGUUGCUUGCAUGAAAAUAUCGCUGCCUCCACAGUGCUCGUGAUUUCAUCCCAGCAGCAGCUAGCAACCACAAUUCCAGUGCUUAUCGCCAGCAACAUAAGAAAAUUAAGAUUUCCCCCAGACCAUGACCAUCAUCCGACAGAUCGGCAGCAACGUUCAACUGACGGUACAACCUGGCCAGCAACCGCAAGUAGUGCAAUCGAUCCAAGCCAAAUGUAGAAGACCAUUGGUCAACUGCAAAAAAAAGAUACAUCAACAGCACCUUCAAACACAGUAGCAGCAGCAUACUGUACUGUACCACGCCGCGUGCAGGACUUUUUUUAUUCAGCUGGUGCAGCAAGAUCGAACAGCAACCAUAGCGGAUACACAUCACCGAACACCAGCAACAUAAUGCCAUGGUAACCACCCAGCAGCAGAACACGGCGAUAAUGGGCCAACAGUAAAUACAACAUCAAGAUCCUCGGAAAGGACUUUCUCUUUCGAACAAACAUAAUGGAAUCAUACUCUACACGCGCGACAUAUUCAAUCGGGCCAACCGUGUGACUCGUUUGGCAAAAAGGGCUCAUCAUCGGUUUCAUGGCAGCGAAGUGAGCAGACAAAAGAAGGCGUUUUUUCCGAAUGGUCGCUCUGGGCAAAAGUUCAGCUAAUUGCAAGGAACAAACCACCGGAGUGACAGUAUCCGUGCUGAUUCAGGACCUUUUUCCAUAUAUUGUAGCUUUUGAAUUUUAAUACCCGGUCGAAACGAUGGCAAGUGCUGCCGAUAACUGGGUCAAAAAGGCGGAAGGAGGAUCAGGAAAUUUCUGCACUCGGUUUUGAAUUUUUCUUUUCAAUACAAAUAGGUUGUCGAUCUGAGUAUCCCUAAGGAUAAGGAACCAGAGCCGACGGCUGACAGCCCAAAGAAACAGAAAGCGGAAAAACCUUCUAGUUCACCGCCAGUAGAACCAGCGAUCAAAUUACUCCGGUAGAAACGGCUGCACCUGCAGUUUUGUUUUCGGUAGCUACAGAAAUUAAGACUUUAGCAGCUACUGAAGAAAAAAAAGCUGCUAGCGAAAAUGGAGAAACAGCUUCCUCCACGGAAGAUGCAGAGGCAUUCAACCCGGCGGAUGCAAGUUUGCUAAUUAAACUUAUUCGCAAAGGUCUAGUAGAAUCAAAGCUGGAUCUGGGGGUGAAGGAUCCUUCUUCGCCGCUAUACUUGGUUAAAACUUUCGAAGCUUUGCACAUGAAUUCGGAACUGCUUCUAUGCUAUGGGUUUCAACGCUCCUUCCAAGAUUCAGAAGACGGCUCAACCUACUCUGUUGGCCGAUCCACCACAGAACAUAAUCGCCCAGAGUUGGUCGGGAACAAGAAAAACCACUGCCUUCGUGCUGGCAAUGCUCAAUCGAGUCAAUCCGUUGAAAAACUAUCCGCAGGUGAUUUGCCUUUCCCCACGUAUGAACUGGCAAUUCAGAAGGGGAAAGUAGCUGCAAAACGGCUGGUUAAACCGUUCGCGGUGAGAAGAUCGUCAAAGGGGCGAAGCUGACUAAUCAUAUCAUCAUCGGAACAGCCGGGCGUUCGACCUUAAGAAGAUUGCCAUUUUUGUAAUGGACGAGGCGGGCGUUAUGAUCGCUGUUCUUUUUAGCAACGUACGAGCGGGAGGUGAUGGGAUUCGUCCAGUACAUCGUAACCAAUCCGAUCAUGAUUCUUCUGGUGCGGGAGCAAGAAUCACUCGAUAACACCAAACACUACUACGUCAAAUGCCGCAACCAGGACGAGAAAUAUCAAGCAAUUUCAAACAUGUACGGUGUGAUUACCGUCGGACAAGCGAUCAUUUUCUGUCAUAUGAUGUAUAGGACAGUUGUAAACUCCAAGUAAACUUAUUUUCGGCAUUGUUAAUCGAUCGAAACAGGCACGCAAAACGGCCGGUUGGUUGACCGGCAGGAUGUCCCAGGAUGGUCAUUCGGUAGCGGUACUGUCCGGUGAUCUAACGGUGGAGCAACGAUUGGAACGAACGUUUUGUCCAGGGGUAUCGACGUCGAACAGGUUACCAUUGUCGUCAACUUCGACCUGCCGAUGGAUUAGCAGGGACGAGCCGAUUGCGAAACGUAUCUACAUCGAAUUAGACGCACCGGUAGAUUCAAACGGAAUCACCAUCAACCUAGUGGGUAGUGAUCGAAGCAUGAUGAUUUGCAGAUCAAUGGAAAAACACUUCCGGAAAAAGAUUCAGUUGCUAGACGCGGAGAACUCGGACGAAAGGCGUAGGAGCUUUUUUGGGUCAUACUUGUUUUGAUUCUGAAUUUAUAAUUUUAUUAUAUUUUAAUUUUUUUUUCUUCCUUGACCUGACAUAAGGUAUACAAAUGUAACCAACAGGGUAUCGUAAGCUAAUAAAUUUACAAUUACAAUUACAAUUUAUCUCUACCCAGUUCUAUCCAAACAUUUGAAAAGGGCCUAACUGCAAAAUGUAACAAAUUGAAAGUUCAUGUUUUCCAUUAACGAAUAUCUACCCGAGCACGUACAUAACGCAACAUUUGAUUAUGAAGAAUUUUGAUAGCGAUUUUACAACAAUUUAUAAAAGGGCCUAAUUGAUUUUUAUGACCGAACUGAUUAUGAAAGGACCUAGCUGAUUGAAAAGUGCCUAACUAGCAAUACACUCGUUUUAAAUGGAUUAUAACGUAUUAUUGUAUUAUGACUGAUUGUAAAAGGCUUAUAACAUCUUUUCCAUAAUUUACAUACAGGGCCAAUCUGAUUUUAUGAUGUUCAGUGGGGUCAAUCUGACCAUCAAUCUAGAAUUCAGUUAAUUCGUCUAACUUUCGGUGUAAUAUCAGACUUGAACAGCAUUUUUUGUGUGAGGUAUUCUGCCGCUAGAAGCAAAACUGUCCCAUGUGCUAUGGGAAUCCCUAUACACAUGGGACAAUUAUACUUCUUGCGGCAGUAAUACAAGUAGUAGCAAUAUGCGCAAUUCCUUAAACCUCUCUAGUGUUUCAUGCAAUAAAAAUUACCACGAAUUACUUAUGGCAAUAAAUUUGAAUUACGAUUCUCACAAUUGUUAUACCAAAAAUAGGUUUGUAUCCGUACUGAUUUUUGGUAGCAUUCCCUGAGACUUCCAGAACCUUUAGUAGUAGCACAGAUAACAGACGUUUAGGCUCGAUUUGAAUCGUGUGUAAAUACCCGCUGCUGAAAUUCCGAAUAAAUCAGACAUCUGAAACAUGUUUGGCAAACGUUUGCAGAUGGCGCAGUGAUCACUACAAUGCAGUUAGAGUGCAGCUGUCGAACACGUGUAGCAAACAGUUGCGCAGAUGGCAAUAGUGAAACACGGAUUUUCAACGUAUAUCAAUUUGAAAGUUUACACAGGUUUUUGAAGAAAUUUUGUUCUAGCCUAAACGUCUGUUAUCUGUGGUAGUAGCCAUUGUUAUCAUAAUCGAUUUUUAACGUCAGCCAGAGUUUAAAGCCUAGGGUUUGGUUCGACCUGAAACCGAUUGAGUCGGAGUCGGUUGUUAUAUUUGCGUUAUAUUUCCGGAUUCCGAAACGUGUUUCGAAAGGUAGUUUCCCCGAGACUUGUGAAAGCGGUAAAGGCGGCCAAGGCAAUCAGAUUUGCUUCUUAAUGGUCAAACGCCGAUUUAGAGCUACGAUUCGGACAAUUACAAUAGAUUUGGGUUGAGCGAAUUUCGAUCAUUUCCCUGGGUCUUCUAGAACCGGUAGAAGCAGCCAAUUUAGAUAGAAAAUGGCCAGCCAAUGAUUUAAAUUUCCGAUUGCAGGAAUUGUGCAGUCUAAAUUGGUCAGACUGAACUUCCCCGAGACAUCCGGAACCGUCACAAAUAAGCAUUAUGAUUAAUCAUGCUCGAAAUAUGAUUCACGCUGAGUACGUCACUUCCCUGAGAGCUUCAUGAAUGGCAAAAAGGUUUACAAUUGUUACCGAUUUCAUACACAUCCGUGAUGAAUUAAUAAAAUACAUAAUUUAAAACAUUUAAAUGACAACAGAAACAUAAAAAAGAAAUAAACAAACAACAGCUGAUGUCGUUUUCCAGUUAUCAAAAGCGACAUCUAACAGCAAACACACAGACUAGUUUUCGCGAGCAAAUGUCAAAAUUCCGCACGGAAGAAGGAAAAAUAUUUCGCGACCUCAUUUCGCAAG